Molecule: ribosomal RNA, 393 nt
Filed under: Anaplasma phagocytophilum
Lineage: Bacteria; Pseudomonadati; Pseudomonadota; Alphaproteobacteria; Rickettsiales; Anaplasmataceae
Description: bacterial SSU rRNA
Rfam family: Bacterial small subunit ribosomal RNA
Source: RNAcentral
GUCGAACGGAUUAUUCUUUAUAGCUUGCUAUGAGAAUAAUUAGUGGCAGACGGGUGAGUAAUGCAUAGGAAUCUACCUAGUAGUAUAGGAUAGCCACUAGAAAUGGUGGGUAAUACUGUAUAAUCCCUGCGGGGGAAAGAUUUAUCGCUACAUGAUGAGCCUAUGUUAGAUUAGCUAGUUGGUGGGGUAAUGGCCUACCAAGGCAGUGAUCUAUAGCUGGUCUGAGAGGAUGAUCAGCCACACUGGAACUGAGACACGGUCCAGACUCCUACGGGAGGCAGCAGUGGGGAAUAUUGGACAAUGGGCGCAAGCCUGAUCCAGCUAUGCCGCGUGAGUGAGGAAGGCCUUAGGGUUGUAAAACUCUUUCAGUAGGGAAGAUAAUGACGGUACCUA